GCAGUGAUUGUUCAGUGGUAGAAUUCUGGCCUUCCAUGCUGGAGACCUGGGUUCGAUUCCCAGCCAGUACA
Molecule: transfer RNA, 71 nt
Filed under: Loxodonta africana (African savanna elephant)
Lineage: Eukaryota; Metazoa; Chordata; Mammalia; Proboscidea; Elephantidae
Rfam family: tRNA
About the family: Transfer RNA (tRNA) molecules are approximately 80 nucleotides in length. Their secondary structure includes four short double-helical elements and three loops (D, anti-codon, and T loops).
Source: Rfam by way of RNAcentral